Prunus avium (sweet cherry) is the source of this 1020-nucleotide non-coding RNA. Lineage: Eukaryota; Viridiplantae; Streptophyta; Magnoliopsida; Rosales; Rosaceae. The record is from RefSeq and is a predicted model, not a curated record.
UCUUUUCCAUCAAACCCUAGCUCACUACCUAGCAAAUUAAAGGCCCCCCACCCCCCUUCUCUCUCUCUGUCUCUGUCUCUGUCUCUUUCCCUCUCUCUCAAAAUUUCUAGUCUUGCUCCAAGGAAGGAUCAUGAGUACUGUACAUAUUUUCUUAUCAUGCAUUUGUAGCAGUUGAAGCUGCCAGCAUGAUCUUAACCUCCCUAUUUUGGUUAGGGAAGAUCAGAUCAUGUGGCAGUUUCACCUGUUAUUGGUAGCAUGAGAUCAAACCCUAAUUCCCACAUAAACCUUUGCAAUCCCUAGAUAAAAGCUGCUCGGAAAUGUCAGCUGUUUUGGGGUUGUUAGGGUUUUGAAUGACAGAAACCGUGUGUUUCCACGCAGUUCGAUGAUUUCAAGAUCCUCAACUGGCACUUUGGACAUUGAGCCACUGCUACCGAGCAAACCUGUCGUACUCUUUUUGAUUAUUAGUCAUACGGUCUGCAUCAAGAUUUCAUAUUUGGGGGAUAAUGAGACAAGUUAUUUGUAUUCUGACAAUAAUAUUGGACCAGAUAAGUACAGUACAGGCAGUCAUUUAAAUGCUCACCUUCUCAAAUUGAGAAUAGAAUAUGAAGCCAUAUGGCUUGAAGUGCCACCUUCAGGCUUCAAAAAGACAAAUAUACAAUAUAUAUUUUGAUCACUUCAUAUCAUAUGCAGACCAGACACACAGAUCAAUUCUGGCAAAUUUGGAUUCUCAGUAGAAAUAAUCUGUGAGAUUGGCUGUGUCUGUUUCCUAAGUGUGCAAUGUGAUUGCAAUUGAUGAUGUAAUUUCUCAACUGUGAGCCCAUGUGAAACCCUUCAAUAGUUUCCAAGUUUCAUAGUAUAAAUGUAAUUUACCAUCUCUCUCUCUCUCUCUGAAGAGUCUCUGUAUGUUGGUUGUUGGACUUUGGGCCCUCUCUUUUGAUAGAAUGCAUAAACGGAAAAGAUUCCCAAAGAGUUUUCAGUUUCCCUGAGAAAAUAAAUAAUCUAAAACGUCACUUUCUUUGA